GACGAACCGUCCUAACGUUAUUCGGAAUCACUGGGCUUAAAGCGUGCGCAGGCGGUUCGCCAAGUCAGGUGUGAAAUCCCCGGGCUUAACCUGGGAAUUGCGCUUGAAACUAGCGGGCUUGAGUGUGGCAGAGGGGGGUGGAAUUCCACGUGUAGCAGUGAAAUGCGUAGAGAUGUGGAGGAACACCGAUGGCGAAGGCAGCCCCCUGGGCUAACACUGACGCUCAUGCACGAAAGCGUGGGGAGCAAACAGG
Molecule: ribosomal RNA, 253 nt
Filed under: uncultured bacterium
Lineage: Bacteria
Description: partial 16S ribosomal RNA
Rfam family: Bacterial small subunit ribosomal RNA
Source: RNAcentral